UUAGUGGCGAAGGGGUGAGUAUCACGUGUGUGACCUGGCCUUGACUCUGGGAAUAACCUUGGAAACGGGGUCUAAUACUGGAUAUUGACUUUACCUCGAAAGGGGUUUGGUUGAAAGAUUUAUUGUUUUUGGAUGGACUCGCGGCCUAUCAGCUUGUUGGUGAGGUAAUGGCUCACCAAGGCGACGACGGGUAUGCGGCCUGAGAAGGAGACCGGCCACUCUGGGACUGACACACGGCCCACACUCCUACGGGAGGCAGCAGUGGGGAAUAUUGCACAAUGGGCGAAAGCCUGAUGCCCCGACCCCGCGUGAGGGAAGACGGCCUUCAGGUUGUAAACCUCUUUCUUUAGGGAACAAGGCCAGCAUUUUUGUUGGUUGAUGGUACUUGCACAAAAAGCGCCGGCUAACUACAUGCCUGCACCCGCGGUAAUACGUAUGGCGCAGGCGUUAUCCGGAAUUAUUGGGCGUGAAGAGCUCGUACGCGGUUUGUCGCGUCUGCCGUGAAUGUCCGGGGCUCAACCCUCGGAUCUGCGGUGGGUACGGACACACUAUAGUGAUGUAAUGGAGACUGGAAUUCCUGGUGUAUGUGUGAAAUGCGCAUAUAUCAGGAUGAACACCGAUGGCGAAGGCAAGUCUCUGGGCAUUAACUGACACUGACGAUCGAAAGCAUGGGGAGCGAA
This 680-nucleotide ribosomal RNA is filed under the name bacterium. RNAcentral describes it as "bacterial SSU rRNA". It matches the Rfam family "Bacterial small subunit ribosomal RNA", at positions 92 to 772 of the family's 1533-position model. The record is from RNAcentral.